UACCGGAUAGGCAAUUAUUUCUGGAAUGGUUUUUUGUUUAAAUGUUUUUUUCGCCUAAGGAUGGGUCUGCGGCCGAUUAGGUAGUUGGUUAGGUAACGGCUUACCAAGCCAUUGAUCGGUACGGGUUGUGAGAGCAAGAGCCCGGAGAUGGAACCUGAGACAAGGUUCCAGGCCCUACGGGGUGCAGCAGGCGCGAAACCUCCGCAAUGUGAGAAAUCGCGACGGGGGGAUCCCAAGUGCCAUUCUUAACGGGAUGGCUUUUCAUUAGUGUAAAGAGCUUUUGGAAUAAGGGCUGGGCAAGACCGGUGCCAGCCGCCGCGGUAACACCGGCAGCUCUAGUGGUAGCAGUUUUUAUUGGGCCUAAAGCGUCCGUAGCCGGUUUAAUAAGUCUCUGGUGAAAUCCUGUAGCUUAACUGUGGGAAUUGCUGGAGAUACUAUUAGACCUGAGACCGGGAGAGGUUAGAGGUACUCCCAGGGUAGAGGCGAAAUUCUGUAAUCCUGGGAGGACCGCCUGUUGCGAAGGCGUCUAACUGGAACGGUUCUGACGGUGAGGGACGAAAGUUAGGGGCGCGAACCGGAUUAGAUACCCGGGUAGUCCUAACUGUAAACGAUGCGGACUUGGUGUUGGGGUGGCUUUGAGCUGCUCCAGUGCCGAAGGGAAGCUGUUAAGUCCGCCGCCUGGGAAGUACGGUCGCAAGACUGAAACUUAA
RNAcentral lists this ribosomal RNA (710 nucleotides) under uncultured archaeon. RNAcentral describes it as "bacterial SSU rRNA". It matches the Rfam family "Archaeal small subunit ribosomal RNA", at positions 150 to 859 of the family's 1478-position model. The record is from RNAcentral.